Molecule: ribosomal RNA, 254 nt
Filed under: uncultured bacterium
Lineage: Bacteria
Description: partial 16S ribosomal RNA
Rfam family: Bacterial small subunit ribosomal RNA
Source: RNAcentral
UACGAAGGGGGCUAGCGUUGCUCGGAAUUACUGGGCGUAAAGGGCGCGUAGGCGGAUGUUUAAGUCGGGGGGUGAAAGCCCAGGGCUCAACCCUGGAAUUGCCUUCGAUACUGGACAUCUUGAGUGCGGGAGAGGUGAGUGGAACUCCGAGUGUAGAGGUGAAAUUCGUAGAUAUUCGGAAGAACACCAGUGGCGAAGGCGACUCACUGGCCCGUUACUGACGCUGAUGCGCGAAAGCGUGGGGAGCAAACAGG